Molecule: ribosomal RNA, 425 nt
Filed under: uncultured bacterium
Lineage: Bacteria
Description: partial 16S ribosomal RNA
Rfam family: Bacterial small subunit ribosomal RNA
Source: RNAcentral
GUGGGGAAUAUUGGACAAUGGGCGAAAGCCUGAUCCAGCAAUGCCGCGUGAGUGAUGAAGGCCUUAGGGUUGUAAAGCUCUUUUACCCGGGAAGAUAAUGACUGUACCGGGAGAAUAAGCCCCGGCUAACUCCGUGCCAGCAGCCGCGGUAAUACGGAGGGGGCUAGCGUUGUUCGGAAUUACUGGGCGUAAAGCGCACGUAGGCGGUUUUGUAAGUUAGAGGUGAAAGCCUGGGGCUCAACCCCAGAAUUGCCUUUAAGACUGCAUCACUUGAACGUCGGAGAGGUGAGUGGAAUUCCGAGUGUAGAGGUGAAAUUCGUAGAUAUUCGGAAGAACACCAGUGGCGAAGGCGGCUCACUGGACGACUGUUGACGCUGAGGUGCGAAAGCGUGGGGAGCAAACAGGAUUAGAUACCCCUGUAGUCC